RNAcentral lists this ribosomal RNA (495 nucleotides) under uncultured bacterium. RNAcentral's name for it is "bacterial SSU rRNA". It matches the Rfam family "Bacterial small subunit ribosomal RNA", at positions 21 to 518 of the family's 1533-position model. The record is from RNAcentral.
GGCUCAGGAUAAACGCUGGCGGCGCACAUAAGACAUGCAAGUCAACGGGAACUUAUUGAAGUUAUCUGAUAUAAAGUUCUAGCGGCGGACUGGUGAGUAAUGUAUAAGCAACCUGCCUAUAAGAGGGGAAUAACAGUGAGAAAUCAUUGCUAAUACCGCAUAAGCUGUGAGAAUGGCAUCAUUCAAACAGAAAAGGAAGCAAUUCCGCUUAUAGAUGGGCUUAUAUCUGAUUAGCUAGUUGGUGAGGGUAACGGCCUACCAAGGCGAUGAUCAGUAGCCGGACUGAGAGGUUGAACGGCCACAUUGGGACUGAGAUACGGCUCAGACUCCUACGGGAGGCAGCAGUCGGGAAUAUUGCGCAAUGGAGGAAACUCUGACGCCAGUGACGCCGCGUGCAGGAAGAAGGUUCUAGGAUUGUAAACUGCUUUAGACAGGGAAGAAACAAAUGACGGUACCUGUAAAAUAAGCUCCGGCUAACUACGUGCCAGCAGCUGC